UAGAAUCUGUUGGGUGAGAGAAAACGCAUAGAAGAGGGAAAAACCAAGGAAAAAGGGAAGAAAAGAAAAAGAAAGGAAGGAAAAAUGAAGAAGAAAGAAGAUACUUGUGCCAACUGCUUCAAUCUUGUUUAUUUAAUUUUUCAAGAGGAGGGGAUUUGGACGUGGGAACAACAUACCAACCCCGUUAGUCCAACCUAUAUCUGAGGCUGUUGAUUGAGCUGUAGUGGAGAUUAUUUUGAUAGUUUUGCAACUACUACUAUCACCAAUUGUAGGUUCUUUUGUUUGAAAUUGUGUAAUCAUCAAGUGAAAUAUUUGCAUCAUAUUGGAGGAAUUUUUUUUUAGUAUUUAUAUGUACCAAUGAUCAUGAUAGAAUAUUGUAAUCUAAACUGCCUUCUAUUAUCCUUUUGAGAGACAUUUAUGAUGAAAAUGAUAUGGAUGUUUUUGGCUA
Olea europaea var. sylvestris is the source of this 448-nucleotide long non-coding RNA. RefSeq lists it as uncharacterized. The transcript is spliced from 3 exons. The record is from RefSeq and is a predicted model, not a curated record. NCBI's taxonomy places the organism in Eukaryota, Viridiplantae, Streptophyta, Magnoliopsida, Lamiales, Oleaceae.